RNAcentral lists this long non-coding RNA (2051 nucleotides) under Nicotiana benthamiana. RNAcentral describes it as "long non-coding RNA (NBEN_LNC004148)". The record is from RNAcentral. Lineage: Eukaryota; Viridiplantae; Streptophyta; Magnoliopsida; Solanales; Solanaceae.
GCACAGCCCAGCCAUAGUGCAGGAUCCAAUCCCAAUCACAGAAAAACGAAGCAAUAAUUUCAAGCCAAUUUUCAUUAAAACACGUACACGAUGGAUCUAUGCCAAAUUAUGAAUAGUAUAACGAAGAGGAACUACAUAUGCUUAUUUAAUUGAAAAUCAGAAGGUUUUAGUUUCAUUCAACAACAUCAUUAAAAUUAGGAUACUAAUUAAUCUUUAGAACCCGAUACUCUCACUAAAUUAAUUCCAUACAUGUGAAAUUUUGCAUUAACUUACUCAUAAACAAUUCCCAUAGACAUAUUAGUGUGGUCCAGGUGUUCUAUUCAAGCACAAAAAUAUAUAGUUAGCCAUAACAUGAUCAAAAUUGAUACUAAUCACUAUGAACACUACCAAAAUCAGUUUCUAGAUUGAACUAUAUAAAGCUAACAAACAUAUGCUAAUACAAUCAUCAGCUAAACGUCAAUGAUCCUCAAUCAAACGACCAAUUCCUUCAUUAAAACUUCAAUGGAUACAUCAGUGAGGUUCAAGUAGUGUACCUGGAAAUUAUGGUUAAACAAAACAAAGAGGAGUUAGCAGAGCAGCAGAAAGCACAACUUCAAAUCAAAAACUAUUAAGUGAUGGAAUUUGAUUUCAAAACUAAAUGAGACUCAUGGAGUGAACUCAGCUACAACAACAAUUUGACCCAAAAAUGAAAUCCAAAAGAGCUUCAAAUAGCUUAAAAUGAAACAGAAACACCACAGAAUCUCUCGACAAUGCAAUCUCAAAUCCAAAACUCAAAGUGUACUGAAGAUUAUAAUGGAACAGUAACUUUCUUCUAUUUUUCUAUCAUAUUUUCCUACUGUUUUUUUCUUCUUGUUUUGUUUUGAGUUUUUUGUCUUUUGUUUUUUUGGUUUUUUUGUUUUUGGUUUCUAAAUUUCGAAAGCUACUCAAAUAUAAAAAUAAGCAUGAAAAAAAAAGUGUUUUUGUGAGCUAGUGAUGGUGAAGAAGAAGACCCCUAGCAAGGCUGUUUCUAUGCCCUUUUAUAGGAAUGGCAUUUAGGGCAGCUAUAUGAGUAUCAGAAUUGCACCUAGAACCUUUUGUAAUUUUGAAAUUGUCUACUCAGUCCCUAAAAUUCUGACUUGCUCAAGCUUAAUGCCUACAAAUCUCAAAUUUCACUGCAACCCAUAGUAGAAGCUUUCCCAUUCAGUUACAAAAAAGAUUCCCUAGGUGUGUUACCCUAAUUACCCUUUAAAGCCUAUGUAAUUACCUAUCAAUAUCAAAUGGGUCAGUUGGCCAAUCUGACAAUCACAUGGGUCAAGUCUGCCCAAAACUCAUACCAAAAGGGACUGAUCUCUUGAAAUAGGCCAAUGGUGACCCAAAUAAAGCCCACAUCCAGAUAUUAAAUCAAGCAAUCAACACGUGAAAUUUCAUUUGACCCAAACUACACUAAGGAUGAAUUAAUGAGAAGGAGAAAUUCUAAACGCCCUGAAUAGGCUAAGCAAAAAAAAAUUUCAGCAGCUAAUUCUAAUCAUGUCUGCAAACUGUUUAGAACAUGAUGCAGGCCAAACUAAUUAAAACUUAACAAAAAUCAGAAAUAUGGACACAAUACGAAAGGCAGGACUGAUACCACUAAUCAUUGUUAUAAGCAAGAACAAUAAAUUAACGUAAGUAUUGAAUCACCUUGGGCGUCGGAUGCAUGAGAACAAUAUUAGGGGCUGGCUGAGUCUAUCUUUGAGUCUUUAGAUUUGGGCUCGAAAGGGGAAGGUGGGGGUUUUAGGGAAUUUAGGCUUAUCCUCAUGUUCAGAUGGGCUUGAAGGUUGUGUGGAAGAGAUUUGAAGAUAACUUGAGCCGCGCCUCCAGCGGAGAAAAUUAGGGCGGCGACUAGGGUUUUGACGAUUUAAGGGAUUCUGGUAAGAUUUGAGAGGAAUAAGUCACGUAUUCAUGUUAAGGAAGUUUAGAAGGUGUGAGGGUGUAAUUUUGGGGCGACUUGGAGUUGGUGCCGCCACUUGCGGCUUAGGAACUUAGGGCGGCAUUUUAUUAGGGUUCAUGAAGGGGGAUUCAGAGAGGAAGACGAG